Molecule: small nuclear RNA, 104 nt
Organism: Eptesicus fuscus (big brown bat)
Lineage: Eukaryota; Metazoa; Chordata; Mammalia; Chiroptera; Vespertilionidae
Source: RefSeq, a predicted model, not a curated record
GUGUUCAUUUCAGCAGCACAUAUACUAAAAUUGGAACGAUACAGAGAUUAGCAUGGCCCCUGUGCAAGGACGACACGCAAAUUCAUGAAGCAUUCCAUAUUAAA